GGGGCCUGGAAAGUCUCCAGACUUCAGCCUCUAAAGAAAUAAGGGACUUCCUCGCCGAGGGGUCUUCACAAAAGAGUGAUCCACGGUGGUUAGAUGCCUGAAAUGUCCUGUAAGGUGGGUGCCUGGGACUUACUGCUGUCUGACGUCUGUUGUGUUCACCUCGUGCCUCCUGAAGUGUGGAAGGAUCCAGAGCCCUCGCAGAAACUUCUGGCAGCUGAGCUAGAAGUUUCUCUCGAACUGCAACACGGCCCACAGGGCCCCUUCACUACUGCCGGCCGGGCUGGGCUGGAGUGCCUUGCCCAGGAGAGGCUGCCCAGUGUGCCUGGGCCCCAACCCCCACAGACCAGGAUAUAAGAAGGCUCAACAGCCCUGGAUUCUCAGUGCUCCCAGCUCCUGCUCAUCUGCCCCAACUGGGAGUAACUAGAGGUGGAAAUGAGCAGACCUAUGUGAGUAUCAGGUCUGUUACUCACUGGCUGGGAGGCCCUGGAAUCUUGUUUCACUUCUAUAAG
This 509-nucleotide long non-coding RNA is filed under the name Equus caballus (horse). Its description in RNAcentral is "lncRNA (ENSECAG00000059413.1)". Lineage: Eukaryota; Metazoa; Chordata; Mammalia; Perissodactyla; Equidae. The record is from RNAcentral.